CUUGAUCGAGCCGAGCCACAGCGGCUCGCCGGCGCGAUCCUGACCGUAGGUGGCCAGAAGUGCUUGUGCCUC
This 72-nucleotide antisense RNA is filed under the name Herbihabitans rhizosphaerae. RNAcentral describes it as "ASpks TB sRNA". It matches the Rfam family "ASpks TB sRNA". Lineage: Bacteria; Bacillati; Actinomycetota; Actinomycetes; Pseudonocardiales; Pseudonocardiaceae. The record is from Rfam by way of RNAcentral.